Molecule: transfer RNA, 76 nt
Filed under: Paludibacteraceae bacterium
Lineage: Bacteria; Pseudomonadati; Bacteroidota; Bacteroidia; Bacteroidales; Paludibacteraceae
Also listed under: 1 other name
Description: tRNA-Lys
Rfam family: tRNA
About the family: Transfer RNA (tRNA) molecules are approximately 80 nucleotides in length. Their secondary structure includes four short double-helical elements and three loops (D, anti-codon, and T loops).
Source: RNAcentral
GACUCAGUAGCUCAGCUGGUAGAGCAACAGACUCUUAAUCUGUGGGUCCAGGGUUCGAUCCCCUGCUGGGUCACCA